UUUACCUACGGGAGGCAGCAGUGAGGAAUAUUGGUCAAUGGGCGCGAGCCUGAACCAGCCAAGUCGCGUGAGGGAAGACGGUCCUAUGGAUUGUAAACCUCUUUUGCCGGGGAGCAAGCUGGGUCACGUGUGACCCAGCUGAGAGUACCCGGAGAAAAAGCAUCGGCUAACUCCGUGCCAGCAGCCGCGGUAAUACGGAGGAUGCGAGCGUUAUCCGGAUUUAUUGGGUUUAAAGGGUGCGUAGGCGGACUGUCAAGUCAGCGGUAAAAUUGAGAGGCUCAACCUCUUCCCGCCGUUGAAACUGG
Molecule: ribosomal RNA, 305 nt
Filed under: uncultured bacterium
Lineage: Bacteria
Description: bacterial SSU rRNA
Rfam family: Bacterial small subunit ribosomal RNA
Source: RNAcentral